GGCACGGUAGCUCAGAUGGUUAGAGCACGCGACUCAUAACCGCGGGGUCGGGGGUUCGAUUCCCCCCUGUGCCA
This 74-nucleotide transfer RNA is filed under the name Candidatus Melainabacteria bacterium. RNAcentral describes it as "tRNA-Met". It matches the Rfam family "tRNA". From Rfam's summary of the family: Transfer RNA (tRNA) molecules are approximately 80 nucleotides in length. Their secondary structure includes four short double-helical elements and three loops (D, anti-codon, and T loops). Further hydrogen bonds mediate the characteristic L-shaped molecular structure. tRNAs have two regions of fundamental functional importance: the anti-codon, which is responsible for specific mRNA codon recognition, and the 3' end, to which the tRNAs corresponding amino acid is attached (by aminoacyl-tRNA synthetases). tRNAs cope with the degeneracy of the genetic code in two manners: having more than one tRNA (with a specific anti-codon) for a particular amino acid; and 'wobble' base-pairing, i.e. permitting non-standard base-pairing at the 3rd anti-codon position. The record is from RNAcentral. Lineage: Bacteria; Bacillati; Candidatus Melainabacteria.